Non-coding RNA from Protopterus annectens (West African lungfish), 507 nucleotides. NCBI's taxonomy places the organism in Eukaryota, Metazoa, Chordata, Ceratodontiformes, Protopteridae. The record is from the annotation of a RefSeq genome assembly.
CUUUGUAUGAGGUGGUAAAGGCAGUUCCAAGUGUUAUUCAUAUCAAGAUAUUAGGACAACAUGUUUUUAAGCAGAAAGAGAGUAUAUCCGUUACAUUUGUUCUUAGCAGCUUUAUUUAUAGGAGCAGAAUGUGCAGAAGAAGUAACUCAGGCACCUCACAUGAAAGCUUUGGAAGGGACAGAAGUAACAAUAUUUUGCAAUCAUUCUGUAGCUACAUCUUACAGUACCCUCUGGUAUUCUCAGAAGGUUUAUGAAAGCCCUAAACUUGAAAUCAUGAACUACGAUGGGAAUAAAAUAGACGGUCGAUUUACAUUAGAUGUUAACAGCAAAGUAAAGACAGCAAACCUAACCAUAAGGGAUGUAACAAUUGCAGACACAGGUGUUGUUUAUUACUGUGCAGUGAGUGACACAGUAACAAAAACCUGUCAGCUGCAGCACCAUAAACCUCUGGGUAUAACAGAAUGCACUUUACAGAAUAUGUUCCUAAGAAUAUCUGCAACUUGUUAA